AACGCACAUUGCGCCCCUUGGCAUUCCGAGGGGCAUGCCUGUUCGAGCGUCAUUACACCAAUCAAGCCUCGCUUGGUAUUAGGCCCUCGCCCCCGUAAAGGGUGGCGUGCCUCAAACACCUCGGCGGAGCCACACCGGCCCUGGGCGUAGUAGAAUCUAUCAAAACGCUCUUGGGACGGUGGGACCCCCGCCGCGCAACAAAACCUUUUAUUUUACCAGGUUGACCUCGGAUCAGGUAGGGAUACCCGCUGAACUUAA
This 258-nucleotide unclassified non-coding RNA is filed under the name uncultured fungus. RNAcentral's name for it is "partial contains 5.8S ribosomal RNA, internal transcribed spacer 2, and large subunit ribosomal RNA". Lineage: Eukaryota; Fungi. The record is from RNAcentral.